UGGGGAAUUUUGGACAAUGGACGCAAGUCUGAUCCAGCCAUGCCGCGUGCGGGAAGAAGGCCUUCGGGUUGUAAACCGCUUUUGUCAGGGAAGAAACGAGUUUCUCUAAUACAGAGACUUAAUUACGGUACCUGAAGAUUAAGCACCGGCUAACUACGUGCCAGCAGCCGCGGUAAUACGUAGGGUGCAAGCGUUAAUCGGAAUUACUGGGCGUAAAGCGUGCGCAGGCGGUUAUGCAAGACAGAGGUGAAAGGCCCGGGCUCAACCUGAGAAAUGCCUUUGUGACUGCAUAGAUAGAGUACAGUAGAGGGGGAUGGAAGUCCGAGUGUAGCAGUGAAAUGCGUAGAUAUGCGGCAGAACACAGAUGGCGAAGGCAAUCCCCUGGACCUGUACUGACGCUCAUGCACGAAAGCGUGGGGAGCAAACA
Molecule: ribosomal RNA, 427 nt
Filed under: uncultured bacterium
Lineage: Bacteria
Description: bacterial SSU rRNA
Rfam family: Bacterial small subunit ribosomal RNA
Source: RNAcentral